Molecule: ribosomal RNA, 609 nt
Filed under: Fusarium sp. 2S3
Lineage: Eukaryota; Fungi; Ascomycota; Sordariomycetes; Hypocreales; Nectriaceae
Description: bacterial SSU rRNA
Rfam family: Eukaryotic small subunit ribosomal RNA
Source: RNAcentral
ACUACGGUACGUGUACCAGUCAGUGUACGCUGGGUCCUGGCUGGCCGGUCCGCCUCACCGCGUGUACUGGUCCGGCCGGGCCUUUCCCUCUGUGGAACCCCAUGCCCUUCACUGGGUGUGGCGGGGAAACAGGACUUUUACUGUGAAAAAAUUAGAGUGCUCCAGGCAGGCCUAUUGCUCGAAUACAUUAGCAUGGAAUAAUAGAAUAGGACGUGUGGUUCUAUUUUGUUGGUUUUCUAGGACCGCCUUGUAAUGAUUAAUAGGGACAGUCGGGGGCAUCAGUAUUCAAUUGUCAGAGGUGAAAUUCUUUGGAUUUAUUGACAGAGACUAACUACUGCGAAAGCAUUUGCCAAGGAUGUUUUCAUUAAUCAGGAACGAAAGUCAUAGGGGAUCGACAGACGAUCAGAUACCGUCGUAGUCUUAACCAUAAACUAUGCCGACUAGGGAUCGGACGGCUGUUAUUUUUUAGACCCGUUCGGCACCUUACGAGAAAUCAAAGUGCUUGGGCUCCAGGGGGAGUAUGGUCGCCAAGGCUGAAACUUAAAGAAAUUGACGGAAGGGCACCACCAGGGGUGGAGCCUGCGAGAGUCAGUCAGUCGUACGUGACUG